This 253-nucleotide ribosomal RNA is filed under the name uncultured bacterium. RNAcentral describes it as "partial 16S ribosomal RNA". It matches the Rfam family "Bacterial small subunit ribosomal RNA", at positions 524 to 776 of the family's 1533-position model. The record is from RNAcentral.
UACGUAUGGUGCAAACGUUAUCCGGAAUGACUGGGUGUAAAGGGAGCGUAGACGGUUGUUCAAGUCUGAUGUGAAAGCCCUCGGCUUAACUGGGGGAGUGCAUUGGAAACUGAAGGACUAGAGUAUCGGAGAGGCAAGUGGAAUUCCUAGUGUGGCGGUGAAAUGCGUAGAUAUUAGGAGGAACACCAGUGGCGAAGGCGGCUUGCUGGACGAAAACUGACGUUGAGGCUCGAAAGCGUGGGGAGCAAACAGG